CAUAGGUUAAUGAGGCGAACCGGGGGAACUGAAACAUCUAAGUACCCCGAGGAAAAGAAAUCAACCGAGAUUCCCCCAGUAGCGGCGAGCGAACGGGGAGGAGCCCAGAGCCUGAAUCAGUGUGUGUGUUAGUGGAAGCGUCUGGAAAGGCGCGCGAUACAGGGUGACAGCCCCGUACACAAAAAUGCACAUGCUGUGAGCUCGAUGAGUAGGGCGGGACACGUGGUAUCCUGUCUGAAUAUGGGGGGACCAUCCUCCAAGGCUAAAUACUCCUGACUGACCGAUAGUGAACCAGUACCGUGAGGGAAAGGCGAAAAGAACCCCGGCGAGGGGAGUGAAAAAGAACCUGAAACCGUGUACGUACAAGCAGUGGGAGCACGCUUAGGCGUGUGACUGCGUACCUUUUGUAUAAUGGGUCAGCGACUUAUAUUCUGUAGC
Molecule: ribosomal RNA, 438 nt
Filed under: Escherichia coli
Lineage: Bacteria; Pseudomonadati; Pseudomonadota; Gammaproteobacteria; Enterobacterales; Enterobacteriaceae
Description: partial 23S ribosomal RNA
Rfam family: Bacterial large subunit ribosomal RNA
Source: RNAcentral